GCCCGGGUAGCUCAGUUGGUAGAGCAACUCCAUGGUAAGGAGUAGGUCGCCGGUUCAAUUCCGGCCCCGGGCUCCA
Molecule: transfer RNA, 76 nt
Filed under: bacterium
Lineage: Bacteria
Description: tRNA-Thr
Rfam family: tRNA
About the family: Transfer RNA (tRNA) molecules are approximately 80 nucleotides in length.
Source: RNAcentral